UCUCCGUUGGUGAACCAGCGGAGGGAUCAUUACAGGACUCGCAAGACUCCUUCACCCUGUGAACCUCACUACAAGCACGUUGCUUCGGCGGGUGUCCCGGCGGGGGUUUUCCCUCGCCGGGGCGCACCGCCCGCCGGCAGCCUACUAUACUCUGUCUUUUUGCGUUGGCAUCGAGAGAAGAAACAAACAAGUUAAAACUUUCAACAGCGGAUCUCUUGGUUCUG
RNAcentral lists this unclassified non-coding RNA (224 nucleotides) under plant metagenome. RNAcentral describes it as "partial contains small subunit ribosomal RNA, internal transcribed spacer 1, and 5.8S ribosomal RNA". The record is from RNAcentral.